AUGUUACUUUUGGUUUAUUGGAUUGUGUUUUUGUAUCAAAUGAAGUUAUUUGUUAUUUGAAUGUGGUUAUUGUGCAUAUUAGUUUUUGUUGUAGUGUAUUAUUGAUAUAGAUAGAUCGACGAACAGUUGGAAAUAGGUCUUUGUGAAUGUUGUAGCAGUUCAAAGUCUAAUUAGAGAAAAUAACUGUGCACUUACUAAUUCUAGCUGUUAUUGCUCUCGGGAAUUCAUGGUAUAGAAUCCUCUACCCUGUUAGAAGUUAUGUUAGUAAUUGAAAGAGUAUUUUCAACAGUAUUUUAUCAUCUCUAAUUUGUAACCUAUUGCUCCCACUAUCUGUGUUUCUUUUGCGAUUUCUACCAUACUUUUCUACUGAUGUAGUCUGUUGUUAGUAGCACAAAUGAGAAGCCUUAAUAUAUGGAUGAUUGUAGCUAUUCUGAGUUUCAAGUUUAUAAUUUUCUAUUUCUUUCGUUUGGUGGGACCUGAGGAUUGUUAUACACAAUGACAGUAUAAAGAUUUCUUUACGCUAUUAGUGUAUUUUGACCUGUUAUAUAAUCUUGCUUUCCAUUUUUUUAAGAUUGCCAAUUAAUGUUUGUAUAGAGAAUUACAUGCAAUUACUUUUUUAAGUGAUAUGAUAGUGUAAAAGUGCUUUUUACACCUUCAGUGUGUAGAACUUGUACUCUUUUUAUAAUUAUUUCGUGAUGCCCUUGGACCUAAUCUCAGUGUUGUCAAAGGUGCUUCUUAAGCCCAGAAGCGAGGCUCAGAACACGUUGAGCGCUUCGCCUCGCUUUGUGGGCACUUUGGUGUCGUAUCAAUACUCGAAAACAUACUUUUCCUUGCCAAUGAAGUAAUCCUGA
Molecule: long non-coding RNA, 851 nt
Filed under: Nicotiana benthamiana
Lineage: Eukaryota; Viridiplantae; Streptophyta; Magnoliopsida; Solanales; Solanaceae
Description: long non-coding RNA (NBEN_LNC004323)
Source: RNAcentral